ACGUUUCGAACUAUGGCGAAACGUAGCGGACGGCUCAGUAACCCGUGGCUAACCUGCCCUUGAGACGAGUAUAAUCCCGGGAAACUGGGGCUAAUACGCGAUAGGUGAAGAUGCCUGGAAUGGUUCAUCAUCUAAAGGACGUUGAGACCAUGUUUCACAGUGUCGCUCAAGGAUGGGGCCGCGGCCGAUCAGGUAGUUGGUGAGGUAACUGCUCACCAAGCCUUUGACCGGUACGGGCCGUGAGAGCGGGAGCCCGGAGAUGGGCACUGAGAUAAGGGCCCAGGCCCUAUGGGGCGCAGCAGUUGCGAAACCUCCGCAAUGCGCGAAAGCGUGACGGGGUUACCCCAAGUGCCAUCCGCUGAGGACGGCUUUUCUUUGGUGUAAUGAGCCAAAGGAAUAAGGGGAGGGCAAGGCUGGUGUCAGCCGCCGCGGUAAUACCAGCUCCCCGAGUGGUAGGGACAAUUAUUGGGCUUAAAGCGUCCGUAGCCGGCCUGACAAGUCUUUCGUUAAAUCCAGCGACUUAAUCGUUGGGCUGCGGGAGAUACUAUCGGGCUAGGGGACGGGAGAGGCCGAUGGUAUUCUUGGGGUAGGGGUGAAAUCCUAUAAUCCCAGGAGGACCACCAGUGGCGAAGGCGAUCGGCUAGAACGCGCUCGACGGUGAUGGACGAAAGCUGGGGGAGCGAACCGGAUUAGAUACCCGGGUAGUCCCAGCUGUAAACGAUGCGAGCUAGGUGUUGGGGUGGUUACGAACCGCU
Molecule: ribosomal RNA, 755 nt
Filed under: uncultured archaeon
Lineage: Archaea
Description: bacterial SSU rRNA
Rfam family: Archaeal small subunit ribosomal RNA
Source: RNAcentral